RNAcentral lists this ribosomal RNA (451 nucleotides) under uncultured bacterium. RNAcentral's name for it is "partial 16S ribosomal RNA". It matches the Rfam family "Bacterial small subunit ribosomal RNA", at positions 28 to 507 of the family's 1533-position model. The record is from RNAcentral.
GAUGAACGCUGGCGGCGUGCCUAACACAUGCAAGUCGAGCGGCAGCGAGGGGUGCUUGCACCCUGUCGGCGAGCGGCGGACGGCUGAGUAACGCGUGGGAACGUGCCCCAAAGUGAGGAAUAACUGCCCGAAAGGGUAGCUAAUACCGCAUAUUAUCUUCGGAUCAAAGGAUUUAUCCGCUUUGGGAGCGGCUCGCGUCGGAUUAGGUAGUUGGUGAGGUAAUGGCUCACCAAGCCGACGAUCCGUAGCUGGUCUGAGAGGAUGACCAGCCAGACUGGAACUGAGACACGGUCCAGACUCCUACGGGAGGCAGCAGUGAGGAAUCUUCCACAAGGGGCGAAAGCCUGAUGGAGCAACGCCGCGUGCAGGACGAAGGCCUUCGGGUUGUAAACUGCUUUUAUAAGUGAGGAAUAUGACGGUAACUUAUGAAUAAGGAUCGGCUAACUACGUG